Molecule: transfer RNA, 75 nt
Filed under: Promethearchaeum syntrophicum
Lineage: Archaea; Promethearchaeati; Promethearchaeota; Promethearchaeia; Promethearchaeales; Promethearchaeaceae
Description: tRNA-Arg (TCG) (tRNA-Arg-TCG-1-1)
Rfam family: tRNA
About the family: Transfer RNA (tRNA) molecules are approximately 80 nucleotides in length. Their secondary structure includes four short double-helical elements and three loops (D, anti-codon, and T loops). Further hydrogen bonds mediate the characteristic L-shaped molecular structure. tRNAs have two regions of fundamental functional importance: the anti-codon, which is responsible for specific mRNA codon recognition, and the 3' end, to which the tRNAs corresponding amino acid is attached (by aminoacyl-tRNA synthetases). tRNAs cope with the degeneracy of the genetic code in two manners: having more than one tRNA (with a specific anti-codon) for a particular amino acid; and 'wobble' base-pairing, i.e. permitting non-standard base-pairing at the 3rd anti-codon position.
Source: RNAcentral
GGGUCCGUAGUCUAGUUUGGAUUGGGCGCCAGCCUUCGGAGCUGGAUUCCGAGGGUUCAAAUCCCCCCGGACCCA